RNAcentral lists this ribosomal RNA (549 nucleotides) under uncultured Glomus. RNAcentral's name for it is "SSU rRNA". It matches the Rfam family "Eukaryotic small subunit ribosomal RNA", at positions 548 to 1098 of the family's 1831-position model. The record is from RNAcentral. Lineage: Eukaryota; Fungi; Glomeromycota; Glomeromycetes; Glomerales; Glomeraceae.
UUGGAGGGCAAGUCUGGUGCCAGCAGCCGCGGUAAUUCCAGCUCCAAUAGCGUAUAUUAAAGUUGUUGCAGUUAAAAAGCUCGUAGUUGAAUUUCGGGGUCAGUAGGUUGGUCGUGCCACAGGUAUGAACUGGUCUCACUGAUUCCUCCUUCCUGAUGAACCGUAAUGCCAUUAAUUUGGUGUUGCGGGGAGACUGGACUGUUACUUUGAAAAAAUUAGAGUGUUUAAAGCAGGCUAACGCUUGAAUACAUUAGCAUGGAAUAAUGAAAUAGGACGUUCGGUCUUAUUUUGUUGGUUUCUAAGAUUGACGUAAUGAUUAAUAGGGAUAGUUGGGGGCAUUAGUAUUCAAUUGUCAGAGGUGAAAUUCUUGGAUUUAUUGAAGACUAACUACUGCGAAAGCAUUUGCCAAGGAUGUUUUCAUUAAUCAAGAACGAAAGUUAGGGGAUCGAAGACGAUCAGAUACCGUCGUAGUCUUAACCAUAAACUAUGCCGACUAGGGAUCGGAUGAUGUUAAUUUUUUAAUGACUCAUUCGGCGCCUUACGGGAAAC